UCGGAAUCGUUACCACGACAGCGUGGGUCACAUGGUAUACUUAUCUUUGUUCCUAUGCCAUUUUCUUGUUAGUUUGUAUUUUGUGACUUCCCUAUUACAUUGUGGUCAUCUUUGUGAAGACUAUGAUUAUGUAGGCAUUCCAAAGUUUGGAAGCCUUCGAUGCCCAAAUAGGAAUAAGACUUUCACACUCAUUCAUCGUUGGACGCUUAUCCAAACUGAUCAAUAAGCCGCACAAAAGAAAAAAUGAAGGGCCGACAGAUGUUCUUGAGCAUGAAGAUGGAGUGAAGCGUCCGAGGGUAAAACCAACUCCAAGGUGCACGAGAAGCGUGAUUCGGCCUCGUUUGCCUUGAUGAGACUUUGCAAGGCAUGAUUACCUAAAAACAAGAAGGGAAGAGAGUAAAUGCUUAGAAAAAGUGGAGCAAAUGAAGGUCUAUACCAAGCUCCGAACGAAGAAUCUCGAUGUGAAGAAGGCCAUCAAAAUGAGGAAGCUAGAGACCGAGGAGGCCCUUACAAAUGAACAAGCUUGGGAUUGAGGCCACCAACGCCAAGACCACAGCACAAGAGGUGGCGCUAACUUUCGAAAAGAUAAAGUUCAUGAUGGUGGACUUGAACGUGAUGUCCCCAAAGAGAAAAUCUUGGUUCAAGAAAAUCAAAAAACCACACUCAAUCUAGAAGAGUGAGCUAGGGCCAAAGAUGACAUCAUUUUGUUUGAUGCCGGCAUGAACUAGUGAAGGCCGCGGGACAAGAACGAUGGCCGUUUUUUGUGUGCAGGCAUGAACUUUUUAUUUUUUUUAUUUCUAGUAGUCGAUGUGUGCAUGCGUACGGUGGUACUAAUUAUCCCGUACCUGCACAUAUUCACGAAUGGUAUGGUCGAGUGGUAAAAUCACGCUAAUACAGUGCCUUUGUAGUAACAUGCCAGGUCAGUGCACGCACAUACGCAAAUGCUGAUAGCCAGAGGACGGCAUUUGCACGAAAUUCUCAUCUGCAUCUCUCAGUCAUCAGCCUCGCCUGUACCGCAAUUCAUACCAAUCGCCGAGCACGCUGAAAGGGACACGCAUGCUGGCAUAGCUUCCAGCGAGAUACUGCGAGAUCAUCUGCCGCCACCGAUUUGUCUAACGCUACCCACACAGCUUCUGACCCCGCCAAGCUGACCAGUACCGUCGGGAAGACGGCGGCUCCGUUGUUGUCCACAGACAAAGAAGUGACCGCAGCCGAGCGGCCCGUUGUUAGACGGUAUGUCCCUUUUGCCUCGCACGCCCACAAACAGGUUAUUCUCGUCCGCUGCGUUCAUUCCUCCUGCAGCAGCAGCCGAAAGCAAGGCCUUCGCCCCACCCACACACGCAUGGUCCUGACUGCCGCCACGACAUGCAUCACCAGCGCGAGGCCAAGCAGGGGAAGGGAUGCGACAGUGCUAGAGUGCUUCUUGGUAAUGUGGAGCUCUAGAUCCUACUGGCUCUCGGUCUCAGGUCUUGUUGUGUGCGUGAGAACAUGCGUCCCUUCUACCAAUCCAUUUGUAGUCUUUAAAUAGGCGGUUGACUGGUACGCACGAAGGACGGAGAGGGACGGUGUAAAUGAGACCAGUAUGAGUGCUUUAGUGACUGCUUUUGUUUACAAUCUGUUUCAUCAUGUUUACAAUCAAAGUUACAUCAUUCAUCAAGAGAGGGAUGUACACACUAUAGGUUUGAUCAAGGAAGCUAGUACAAGAGGGCCCUUAACCAAUUUCGUUAGUUCAAGAGCAACAUUAUUACCUUCCCUAGGGCAGUGCACAAAAGAGACGAUGGGAAAAUCACUUGCCAAAUGGCAGCGGUGCGGAAAAAAAUUCAGUAGAGUG
This 1831-nucleotide long non-coding RNA is filed under the name Hordeum vulgare. Its description in RNAcentral is "long non-coding RNA (HVUL_LNC014121)". The record is from RNAcentral. Lineage: Eukaryota; Viridiplantae; Streptophyta; Magnoliopsida; Poales; Poaceae.